GCCACAGCUCUACCCGGCCUUACGUGUCCGAGGAUGUUUGGGGGGAGCUUGCUUGCUUGUCGCAUGCAUACUCACGCACUUGUGUCAUAUUGCCUGCCAGUCCUGUGAGUCAUGGCGACCUGCCAUAUGAUCUGGCAAGCAGGUGCAUCUGCCUCUGAGCCGCCCGCUGUGGCCUCUUGCCAUCGGCCCUCACAGCUCUGCCAGUGGGCAGCCGCCAGCUCCACGUCUGAUCCACACGCCGCGACCUCCGUGACCUUGGCCUAGCUUCUACAGCUGUGUGAUCCGUUGUCUUUGGAGGAAUUCAUAUAAACGUGUCUGUCACUGCUUUGGCUGCUUGGGGGAACCCAGCCUAAGCCCUGAAUUGCUUAAACUUACUGUUGGAAUUGAGACAGGCUGCAAGUGUAAACUACUUUUUGAACUUUGAAGUUUUCGUGUAGAAAAACAAAAUGAAGAAUGGAAAUAUCUCAUGGAUCAUUUAUAUCAAACACGUGGAAGCUGCCCUGGACCGAAGCUAAGGCACCCACGAAUGCUGAAUGCUCACGGACUGGCUCUUGCCUCCCUGGAGGUCGUGACGAGAAGGCAACAAAGACUUCUGCUCUCUCACUAGCUUUCCGGUUCUGACUUUUUCUUGGUCUCUUUGAAAUCGCCUUGCAAUUUUGAAAGAUUAGAAUGUGAUCCUACGGGAUUUUUUCUACCCAAGCCGUUCAGAUUUGAUUUUUUUAAUAAAGCGAAAGUCAAUGAUUCUAA
Molecule: long non-coding RNA, 747 nt
Organism: Echinops telfairi (small Madagascar hedgehog)
Lineage: Eukaryota; Metazoa; Chordata; Mammalia; Afrosoricida; Tenrecidae
Exons: 2
Source: RefSeq, a predicted model, not a curated record